CCUACGGGAGGCAGCAGUGAGGAAUAUUGGUCAAUGGCCGGAAGGCUGAACCAGCCAAGCCGCGUGAAGGACGAAGGUGCCAAGCAUUGUAAACUUCUUUUGUCAAGGGACAAAAUCAGGCUCGAGAGCCUGACCGAGGGUACUUGAAGAAAAAGCAUCGGCUAACUCCGUGCCAGCAGCCGCGGUAAUACGGAGGAUGCGAGGGUUAUCCGGAUUUAUUGGGUUUAAAGGGUGCGUAGUCGGGCUGUUAAGUCAGCGGGAAAAGCCCGGGGCUCAACACCGGCGAGCCGUUGAAACUGGGUGUCUUGAGAUGUCGAGAGGUAUGCGGAAUGCGCAGUGUAGCGGUGAAAUGCUUAGAUAUUGCGCAGAACUCCGAUUGCGAAGGCAGCAUACCGGCGGCGAUCUGACGCUGAGGCACGAAAGCGUGGGUAUCGAACAGGAUUAGAUACCCCAGUAGUC
RNAcentral lists this ribosomal RNA (459 nucleotides) under uncultured bacterium. RNAcentral's name for it is "partial 16S ribosomal RNA". It matches the Rfam family "Bacterial small subunit ribosomal RNA", at positions 338 to 795 of the family's 1533-position model. The record is from RNAcentral.